This 479-nucleotide ribosomal RNA is filed under the name Serratia marcescens. Its description in RNAcentral is "bacterial SSU rRNA". It matches the Rfam family "Bacterial small subunit ribosomal RNA", at positions 61 to 529 of the family's 1533-position model. Lineage: Bacteria; Pseudomonadati; Pseudomonadota; Gammaproteobacteria; Enterobacterales; Yersiniaceae. The record is from RNAcentral.
GUCGAGCGGUAGCACAGGGGAGCUUGCUCCCUGGGUGACGAGCGGCGGACGGGUGAGUAAUGUCUGGGAAACUGCCUGAUGGAGGGGGAUAACUACUGGAAACGGUAGCUAAUACCGCAUAACGUCGCAAGACCAAAGAGGGGGACCUUCGGGCCUCUUGCCAUCAGAUGUGCCCAGAUGGGAUUAGCUAGUAGGUGGGGUAAUGGCUCACCUAGGCGACGAUCCCUAGCUGGUCUGAGAGGAUGACCAGCCACACUGGAACUGAGACACGGUCCAGACUCCUACGGGAGGCAGCAGUGGGGAAUAUUGCACAAUGGGCGCAAGCCUGAUGCAGCCAUGCCGCGUGUGUGAAGAAGGCCUUCGGGUUGUAAAGCACUUUCAGCGAGGAGGAAGGUGGUGAGCUUAAUACGCUCAUCAAUUGACGUUACUCGCAGAAGAAGCACCGGCUAACUCCGUGCCAGCAGCCGCGGUAAUACGGA